UACGGGGGGGGCAAGCGUUGUUCGGAAUUACUGGGCGUAAAGGGCUUGUAGGUGGCCACCUAAGUCAGACGUGAAAUCCCUCGGCUUAACCGGGGAACUGCGUCUGAUACUGGAUGGCUAGAGAUUGGGAGAGGGAUGCGGAAUUCCAGGUGUAGCGGUGAAAUGCGUAGAUAUCUGGAGGAACACCGGUGGCGAAGGCGGCAUCCUGGACCAACACUGACACUGAAAAGCGAAAGCCAGGGGAGCAAACGGG
Molecule: ribosomal RNA, 253 nt
Filed under: uncultured bacterium
Lineage: Bacteria
Description: partial 16S ribosomal RNA
Rfam family: Bacterial small subunit ribosomal RNA
Source: RNAcentral